This 1329-nucleotide ribosomal RNA is filed under the name metagenome. RNAcentral describes it as "bacterial SSU rRNA". It matches the Rfam family "Bacterial small subunit ribosomal RNA", at positions 8 to 1321 of the family's 1533-position model. The record is from RNAcentral.
AGAGUUUGAUCCUGGCUCAGAACGAAUGUUGGCGGCGCGUCUUAAGCAUGCAAGUCGGACGGAAUUAAGCGGAGCAAUCUGCUUAAUUUAGUGGCGCACGGGUGCGUAACACGUAAAUAAUCUGCCCCCUGGUCGGGGAUAACUCAGCGAAAGAUGGGCUAAUACCUGAUGUGGUACAAGCGACGGAAUUAGUUUGCAUUAAAGUUGGAGCAAUCUAACGCUGGGGGAUGAGUUUGCGGCCUAUUAGCUAGUUGGUGGGGUAAUGGCCCACCAAGGCGAUGAUGGGUAGCCGGCCUGAGAGGGUGUACGGCCACAUUGGAACUGAGACACGGUCCAGACUCCUACGGGAGGCAGCAGCUAAGAAUAUUCCUCAUGGGCGAAAGCCUGAAGGAGCGACGCCGCGUGAAUGAAGAAGGCCUUCGGGUUGUAAAGUUCUUUUGUAAGGGAAAAAGGUGCAUAUAUUAACUGUAUGUGUAUUUGAUUGUACCUUACGAAUAAGCCCCGGCUAAUUACGUGCCAGCAGCCGCGGUAAUACGUAUGGGGCAAACGUUGUUCGGAUUUACUGGGUGUAAAGGGCGCGCAGGCGGUUUGGUCAGUCUGGUGUUAAAAGUCAGGGCUCAACUCUGAUCUUGCAUUGGAUACUGCCAUUCUAGAGUACAGAAGAGGAAGCCGGAAUUCUUGGUGUAGGGGUAAAAUCUGUAGAUAUCAGGAAGAACACCGAUGGCGAAGGCAGGCUUCUGGUCUGACACUGACGCUCAGGCGCGAAAGCUGGGGGAGCGAACUGGAUUAGAUACCCCGGUAGUCCCAGCCCUAAACGAUGUACACUAGGCGUGAUUGGUAUCGAUCCCAGUCGUGCCGAAGCUAACGCAUUAAGUGUACCACCUGGGGAGUAUGCUCGCAAGGGUAAAACUCAAAGGAAUUGACGGGGGCCCGCACAAGCGGUGGAGCAUGUGGUUUAAUUCGAUGUACGCUAGGAACCUUACCAGGGUUUGACAUGUACAUGACAGGUCGUGAAAGCGAUCCUCUCGCAAGAGCAUGUACAAAGGUGCUGCAUGGUUGUCGUCAGCUCGUGCCGUGAGGUGUUAGGUUAAGUCCUGCAACGAGCGCAACCCCCAUCCUAUGUUGCUACCAGGUUAUGCUGGGCACUCUUAGGAAACUGCCAGUGAUGAACUGGAGGAAGGUGGGGAUGACGUCAAAUCCUCAUGGCCCUUAUGUCCUGGGCUACACACGUGCUACAAUGGACGGUACAAAGAGCUGCAGAACCGCGAGGUGAAGCUAAUCUCAAAAAGCCGUUCUCAGUUCGGAUUGAAGUCUGAAACUCGACUUCAU